This is a long non-coding RNA of Nannospalax galili (Upper Galilee mountains blind mole rat), 310 nucleotides long. RefSeq lists it as uncharacterized. Lineage: Eukaryota; Metazoa; Chordata; Mammalia; Rodentia; Spalacidae. The transcript is spliced from 3 exons. The record is from RefSeq and is a predicted model, not a curated record.
UUUUCGCGUCUGAGAUUGAGCCGGACGUCCUAGUAGUCUUAUGUCCUCUGCUUCAAACUGCGGUUUUUCAGAACCGUCGGUCGAGCCACUUUUCUCGGACCUCGGUUUUCUCAUCUUCUGGAGUCCAGAACCCUGAAAUAAGCACCAGUAAAUGAAAUCAAGGUGUGGGAGGACCAUGUUCUAUGCAGAGGCUGCAGGGAUGGCCUGUUCCUCACCUCUUCAUCUACAAGUGGCUGCUGUAAUUCCUUGGUUCCUGCUUGAGUUCCUGCCCUGGCUUCCCUUGAUGAAGAACUAUACUGCAAGCCAAAAU